CUACGGGGUGCUGCAGGCGCGAAAAUUCUGCAAUGCACGAAAGUGUGACAGAGGGACUUCGAGUGCCAUCUUUGAUGGCUUUUGCCAACUGUAGAUAGGUUGGCGAAUAAGGACUGGGUAAGAUACGUGCCAGCCGCCGCGGUAAUACGUACAGUCCAAGUGGUAUUCCCUUAUAUUGGGCCUAAAGCGUUCGUAGCCGGUUUGGUAAGUCUUUGGUGAAAUCGGCUCUCUUAAGGAGUCGAAUGGCCAGGGAUACUGCCAGGCUCGAGACCGGGAGACGUGAAGGGAAUUUUCGGAGUAACGGUGAAAUGUUGUGAUCCCGAAAAGACCACCAGUAGCGAAGGCGCUUCACGAGAACGGCUCUGAUGGUGAGGAACGAAAGCUGGGGGAGCGACCCGGAUUAGAUACCCUUGUAGUC
RNAcentral lists this ribosomal RNA (418 nucleotides) under uncultured archaeon. RNAcentral describes it as "partial 16S ribosomal RNA". It matches the Rfam family "Archaeal small subunit ribosomal RNA", at positions 323 to 746 of the family's 1478-position model. The record is from RNAcentral.